RNAcentral lists this ribosomal RNA (1560 nucleotides) under Triticum aestivum (bread wheat). Its description in RNAcentral is "partial small subunit ribosomal RNA". The record is from RNAcentral. Lineage: Eukaryota; Viridiplantae; Streptophyta; Magnoliopsida; Poales; Poaceae.
AUGGGCGCGGCCAUGAUCUGGACGGUGGCGGCCGGUGCGGCGGCGGCGCUGGCCUCGUGGUGGGCGCUCAGCGCGCUGUCGCGGUUCGUGUGGCGGCCCCGCGCCAUAGCCAGGGCGUUCCGGGCGCAGGGCGUUGGCGGGCCAGACUACCAGUUCCUGGUCGGCAACCUCCUGGAGAUGAAGCGGCUCAUCGCCGAGGCCGCCGGCCUCGCGCUCGACGCCGGCUGCCACGACUAUGGCGCUCUGGUGCAGCCCCACUUACGUAAAUGGAUGGCCCUCUACGGGCGGACGUUCGUGUCCUGGUUCGGGGAGAAGCCGCAGUUGUUCAUGGGCGGCGUGAACAUGGUGCAGCAGGUGCUCUCCGACCGCACGGGGCUGUUCACCAAGAAUCCCGUCAACGAUCACUUCACCCGCGGGCUCGGCAAGGGGCUCAUCCUCAUCGACGGCGACGAGUGGAAGCGCCACCGGAAGGUCGUCCACCCAGUCUUCAACCUUGACAAGCUAAAGAUGUUGGCAGUGACCGUGUCCGGCUGUUUUCGGUCAGUGGUCUCCGACUGGGAGACAAAGUUGGAGAAGGGCAACGGCGAAUUGGAGAUCGAGAUUAGCUGCCAGUUCGGGGAGAUUGCAGCUGAUGUGAUCUCGCACGUAGCGUUUGGCAGAAACCACAAAGAGGCCAAGGAAGUACAUCUCAUACAGAAAGAGCUCCAGUAUCUUGUCUUCUAUAGUCUAUUCAAUGACGUUUUGAGCCAUAUCUCAGUAUUCAGGUAUCUCCCAACAAAAAAUAACCUGAAGAUGUGGAGGCUCCAGAGAAAGGUGAGGAGCAUACUGAUCAACAUCAUCGAAAGCCGGCUCGCCGCGAAGGACACAACAGGCUACGGGAACGACAUGCUCGGGGUAAUCCUGGAGGCAUGCGCGCCGGAGCAGGUGCAAAAUCCGCUCAUGAGCAUAGAUGAGAUCAUAGAAGAGUGCAAAACCUUCUACUUAGCUGGGCACGAGACCACAACACAGAUGCUUACCUGGACCAUGUUCUUGCUGAGCACGCAUGGGGAGUGGCAGCAGACGCUCAGAGAGGAGGUGCUAAGUGAGUGUGGCAACGAAAUCCCCACUGGCGACAUGCUCAACAAGCUGAAACUGGUCAACAUGUUCAUCCUUGAAACUCUCAGAUUAUACGCCCCCGUCUCACUAACCCAGAGGAUAGCGGGAUCAGAUGUCGAGCUCAAUGGCAUCAGGGUGCCUAAAGGCACGAUCUUGACAAUCCCGAUCAAAACGAUACACCGUGACAAAGAGCUAUGGGGCGAGGAUGCCGACGAAUUUAAGCCUAUGAGGUUUGAGAAUGGAGCGACGAGAGCCGCGAAGCACCCCAAUGCAUUUGUGCCCUUCUCUAGUGGACCAAGGGCAUGCGUUGGCCAGAACUUUGCCAUGAUCGAGGUGAAGGUCGUGGUGGCAAUGAUCCUGCAGAGGUUCUCAGUGACGAUAUCUCCGAAGUACGUCCAUGCGCCAAAGGAUGUUUUCACGAUAUGCCCCAAAUAUGGGCUUCCUGUUGUCCUUAGGAGCCUGUAG